GAGUAGCGAAGGUCAUGAUCUCAGACUGCCAAGAAAAGCCUCUAGCCAGGAGAAGGUGCCCGUACCGCAAACCGACACAGGUAGGCGAGAAGAGAAUUCUAAGGCGCGCGGAAGAACUCUCGUUAAGGAACUCGGCAAAAUGACCCCGUAACUUCGGGAGAAGGGGUGCCUCGGUAGGGUGAAUAGCCCGAGGGGGCCGCAGUGAAAAGGCCCAAGCGACUGUUUAGCAAAAACACAGGUCUGUGCGAAGCCGCAAGGCGAAGUAUACGGGCUGACGCCUGCCCGGUGCUGGAAGGUUAAGGGGAGUGGUAAGCUCGCAAGAGCGAAGCUAUGAACCGAAGCCCCAGUAAACGGCGGCCGUAACUAUAACGGUCCUAAGGUAGCGAAAUUCCUUGUCAGGUAAAUUCUGACCCGCACGAAUGGCGUAACGACUUGGGCGCUGUCUCAACGAGAGAUCCGGUGAAAUUUUAAUACCUGUGAAGAUGCAGGUUACCCGCGACAAGACGGAAAGACCCCAUGGAGCUUUACUGCAGCUUGAUAUUGAAUUUGGGUACGAUCUGUACAGGAUAGGUGGGAGCCGUAGAACUUUGAGCGCCAGCUUGAAGGGAGGCAUCCUUGGGAUACCACCCUGAUCGUAUCUAGGUUCUAACUUGGUACCGUGACCCGGUGCGAGGACAGUGUCAGGUGGGCAGUUUGACUGGGGCGGUCGCCUCCUAAAGAGUAACGGAGGCGCCCCAAGGUUCCCUCAGAAUGGUUGGAAAUCAUUCGAAGAGUGCAAAGGCAGAAGGGAGCUUGA
RNAcentral lists this ribosomal RNA (796 nucleotides) under Paenibacillus polymyxa. RNAcentral describes it as "bacterial LSU rRNA". It matches the Rfam family "Bacterial large subunit ribosomal RNA", at positions 1580 to 2372 of the family's 2925-position model. Lineage: Bacteria; Bacillati; Bacillota; Bacilli; Caryophanales; Paenibacillaceae. The record is from RNAcentral.